Pipra filicauda (Wire-tailed manakin) is the source of this 153-nucleotide long non-coding RNA. RefSeq lists it as uncharacterized. The record is from RefSeq and is a predicted model, not a curated record. Lineage: Eukaryota; Metazoa; Chordata; Aves; Passeriformes; Pipridae. The transcript is spliced from 2 exons.
CAAUAUGGAUUCAGUUGUGUGCACUCUUCUUUUCAAGGACUGCACAGGUGGAGUUAAGAGAGACCUCGCCAGCCAUAGAUCCUAGCCCUCAGGAAUGCAGUUGACUUCUGUUUAAUGCUAGGCCACUAGAAUAAAAUAUACUUCAAGAAAACA